AAAAGAAACUAACAAGGAUUCCCCUAGUAACGGCGAGUGAAGAGGGAAGAGCUCAAAUUUUAAAUCUACCUUGUUUCAAGGUCGAGUUGUAAUUUGAAGAUGCGUUUUCUCGGGCCCGCACCGGUAGAAGUUCUCUUGGAACAGGGCAUCAUAGAGGGUGAUAAUCCCGUCUGUGACCGGUCGCGAGUUCGUAUACGAUACGCACUCUAAGAGUCGAGUUGUUUGGGAUUGCAGCUCAAAACGGGUGGUAAACAUCACCUAAGGCUAAAUAUUGGCGAGAGACCGAUAGCGAACAAGUACCGUGAGGGAAAGAUGAAAAGAACUUUGAAAAGAGAGUUAAACAGUACGUGAAAUUGUUGAAAGGGAAACGCUUGAAGUCAGUCGUGCUGGCAUGAAAUCAACCGUUGCGCUAGUAAGUUGUCUGCGGGUGAGCUAAAAACCAUCGCGUUGACAUCUUUGCGCGCGCAGCGGUGCACUUUUGUGUCAGCUGGUUAGCAUCAAUUUCGACCGUCAUAAAAAGGCUGGGGGGAUGUGGCUCCUUCGGGAGUGUUAUAACCCUUAGCGGAAUGUGGUGGACGAGAUUGAGGUUUGCAACG
RNAcentral lists this ribosomal RNA (596 nucleotides) under uncultured Entrophospora. RNAcentral's name for it is "eukaryotic LSU rRNA". It matches the Rfam family "Eukaryotic large subunit ribosomal RNA", at positions 57 to 600 of the family's 3401-position model. The record is from RNAcentral. Lineage: Eukaryota; Fungi; Glomeromycota; Glomeromycetes; Entrophosporales; Entrophosporaceae.